Molecule: ribosomal RNA, 249 nt
Filed under: uncultured bacterium
Lineage: Bacteria
Description: partial 16S ribosomal RNA
Rfam family: Bacterial small subunit ribosomal RNA
Source: RNAcentral
CACGCCCUAAACGAUGUCAACUAGUUGUUCGGUGAGGAGACUCAUUGAGUAACGCAGCUAACGCGUGAAGUUGACCGCCUGGGGAGUACGGCCGCAAGGUUAAAACUCAAAGGAAUUGACGGGGACCCGCACAAGCGGUGGAUGAUGUGGAUUAAUUCGAUGCAACGCGAAAAACCUUACCUACCCUUGACAUGCCAGGAACUUGCCAGAGAUGGCUUGGUGCUCGAAAGAGAGCCUGGACACAGGUGC